This is a non-coding RNA of Linepithema humile (Argentine ant), 415 nucleotides long. Lineage: Eukaryota; Metazoa; Arthropoda; Insecta; Hymenoptera; Formicidae. The record is from RefSeq and is a predicted model, not a curated record.
UUCACAACUACUUUGGGAAAAUCCUCACACUAUUCUUAUGUUGUAUGAACGUCAGAUUAAAAAAAUGGAUAUAAGAACAUCAAACUUUGUACGUACAUGGAAUACUUCUGUCUCAAAAAAAAAUCCUAAAUUACAUAGUUUCUCUUCAGAUUAUUUGUAUACUGUUAUGACAGGGACGGAUAUUGGUUCAGUACGUCUAUGGGAUCAAAGAUUUAAUAAUUGCAUUAAGACGUAUCAAAUAUCUCUUAUUAAUUCUAUCCGUUCCAACCCUGUACUUUCUGUGCAAUUUGAUAGCUCUCAUAUGUAUACUAUUACAGAACUAGGAAGUGUGACUCAACUUAAUUUUAGACAUAAAAUCAUUUUUGACCACGCUGCAAGGAAAAAGUAUUUUAGAAAUUUUAUUUAAAUAAAAAAG